GGGGAAUCUUCCGCAAUGGACGAAAGUCUGACGGAGCAACGCCGCGUGAGUGAUGACGGCCUUCGGGUUGUAAAGCUCUGUUAAUCGGGACGAAUGGUUCUUGUGCAAAUAGUGCGAGGAUUUGACGGUACCGGAAUAGAAAGCCACGGCUAACUACGUGCCAGCAGCCGCGGUAAUACGUAGGUGGCAAGCGUUGUCCGGAAUUAUUGGGCGUAAAGCGCGCGCAGGCGGAUUGGUCAGUCUGUCUUAAAAGUUCGGGGCUUAACCCCGUGAUGGGAUGGAAGCUGCCAAUCUAGAGUAUCGGAGAGGAAAGUGGAAUUCCUAGUGUAGCGGUGAAAUGCGUAGAUAUUAGGAAGAACACCAGUGGCGAAGGCGACUUUCUGGACGAAAACUGACGCUGAGGCGCGAAAGCCAGGGGAGCGAACGGGAUUAGAUACCCCGGUAGUCCUGGCCGUAAACGAUGGGUACUAGGUGUAGGAGGUAUCGACCCCUUCUGUGCCGGAGUUAACGCAAUAAGUACCCCGCCUGGGGAGUACGACCGCAAGGUUG
This 549-nucleotide ribosomal RNA is filed under the name uncultured bacterium. RNAcentral's name for it is "bacterial SSU rRNA". It matches the Rfam family "Bacterial small subunit ribosomal RNA", at positions 356 to 896 of the family's 1533-position model. The record is from RNAcentral.